Molecule: ribosomal RNA, 475 nt
Filed under: uncultured bacterium
Lineage: Bacteria
Description: partial 16S ribosomal RNA
Rfam family: Bacterial small subunit ribosomal RNA
Source: RNAcentral
GACGAACGCUGGCGGCGUGCUUAACACAUGCAAGUCGAACGGAAAGGCCUGCUUUCCCUUGUGGCUUGCGGGUACUCGAGUGGCGAACGGGUGAGUAACACGUGAGUGAUCUGCCCCCAACUUGGGUAUAAGCCUGGGAAACUGGGUCUAAUUCCCGAUAGGACUGCAGGGUGGUGCCUGUGGUGGAAAACGAUGGUCGAGUGGUUGGGGAUGAGCUCGCGGCCUAUCAGCUUGUUGGUGGGGUAUUGGCCUACCAAGGCGGCGAUGCAUAGCCGGGCGGAGAGGAGGAGCAGCCAGGAUGGAACUGAGACACGGACCAGACUCCGACGGGAGGCAGGAGUGGGGAAUAUUGGGCGAGGGGCGAAAGCCUGAUCCAGCAAUGCCGCGUGAGUGAUGAAGGGGUUAGGGUUGUAAAGCUCUUUUAACCGGGAUGAUAAUGACAGUACCGGGAGAAUAAGCUCCGGCUAACUCCGUG